ACACACACACACACACACACACACACACACAUAUAUGUAUGUAUAUAUAUAUGUAUGUGUAUAUAUAUAUGUAUGUGUGUAU
Molecule: microRNA precursor, 82 nt
Filed under: Podarcis lilfordi (Lilford's wall lizard)
Lineage: Eukaryota; Metazoa; Chordata; Lepidosauria; Squamata; Lacertidae
Source: RNAcentral